UAGAGUUGGAAGUGGGUGGUGACAUGGGGUGAGGUUUAAGGUAGAUGGGGACAGGAAGAAUGGGCACUGAGUAGUAUUGCGACAAAAUGGUGAGAUCAAGAAUGGGAAUGGUAGCUGAGAAAAGGAUAUAGUAAUAGGGAACAAGGGACAUGGAAUGGAAAUGAGGAACAGAGACAUGGAACUAAUAUAAAAUAAAUCAUUUAGUAGGAAGGAGAGAAGGUGUGGCUUUAAUAAAAUUGAGAUGUAGCUUUAAUAAAUUCCUAUAAAUAAAUAAAUAUAUGUAUGUAU
RNAcentral lists this long non-coding RNA (288 nucleotides) under Physcomitrium patens. RNAcentral describes it as "long non-coding RNA (PPAT_LNC002691)". Lineage: Eukaryota; Viridiplantae; Streptophyta; Bryopsida; Funariales; Funariaceae. The record is from RNAcentral.